AUAUAUGGGCAAACUAUCCGAAAGGGUAGGACGCAAAGCCGUGAGUCUAAGAUAUUUUUAUUAUGAUUGUCUGGUUGC
RNAcentral lists this non-coding RNA (78 nucleotides) under human gut metagenome. Its description in RNAcentral is "Cyclic di-GMP-I riboswitch". It matches the Rfam family "c-di-GMP-I riboswitch aptamer", at positions 6 to 83 of the family's 87-position model. Rfam says of the family: GEMM was predicted in a large-scale screen for bacterial structured RNA regulatory elements. The record is from RNAcentral.